Molecule: transfer RNA, 66 nt
Filed under: Abaria herringbona
Lineage: Eukaryota; Metazoa; Arthropoda; Insecta; Trichoptera; Xiphocentronidae
Description: tRNA-Ser
Source: RNAcentral
AAUUAAUGAACUUGUUAAAGUAUUUGUUUUGAAAACUUAAAAAAGAAUUAAAAAUUCUAUUAAUUU